RNAcentral lists this transfer RNA (66 nucleotides) under Metaplax longipes. Its description in RNAcentral is "tRNA-Thr". It matches the Rfam family "tRNA". Rfam says of the family: Transfer RNA (tRNA) molecules are approximately 80 nucleotides in length. Their secondary structure includes four short double-helical elements and three loops (D, anti-codon, and T loops). Further hydrogen bonds mediate the characteristic L-shaped molecular structure. tRNAs have two regions of fundamental functional importance: the anti-codon, which is responsible for specific mRNA codon recognition, and the 3' end, to which the tRNAs corresponding amino acid is attached (by aminoacyl-tRNA synthetases). tRNAs cope with the degeneracy of the genetic code in two manners: having more than one tRNA (with a specific anti-codon) for a particular amino acid; and 'wobble' base-pairing, i.e. permitting non-standard base-pairing at the 3rd anti-codon position. Lineage: Eukaryota; Metazoa; Arthropoda; Malacostraca; Decapoda; Varunidae. The record is from RNAcentral.
GUUUUUAUAGUUUAAAUUAAAAAACAUUGGUCUUGUAAACCAAAAAUGAAUCUUUUUCUAAAAACU